This 492-nucleotide ribosomal RNA is filed under the name uncultured bacterium. RNAcentral's name for it is "partial 16S ribosomal RNA". It matches the Rfam family "Bacterial small subunit ribosomal RNA", at positions 29 to 507 of the family's 1533-position model. The record is from RNAcentral.
AGUGAACGCUGGCGGUAGGCCUAACACAUGCAAGUCGAACGGCAGCACAGUAAGAGCUUGCUCUUACGGGUGGCGAGUGGCGGACGGGUGAGGAAUACAUCGGAAUCUACUUUUUCGUGGGGGAUAACGUAGGGAAACUUACGCUAAUACCGCAUACGACCUACGGGUGAAAGCAGGGGAUCUUCGGACCUUGCGCGAGGGAAGGAGCCGAUGUCGGAUUAGCUAGUUGGCGGGGUAAAGGCCCACCAAGGCGACGAUCCGUAGCUGGUCUGAGAGGAUGAAUCGCCAGCCUGGAAGUGAGAAACGGUCGCGACUCCUACGGGAGGCAGCGGUGGGGAAUAUUGGACAAUGGGGGAAAGCCUGAUCCAGCCCUACCGCGUGGGUGAAGAAGGCGUUCGGGUUGUAAAGCCCUUUUGUUGGGAAAGAAAAGCAGCAGGUUAAUACCCCGCUGUUCUGACGGUACCCAAAGAAUAAGCACCGGCUAACUUCGUG